UCCUGAUAUCUUAUCUCAGCGAGAUCCAGAGUGCCAAAAGUUAUGGGUAGAUAUCGAACGGCAUUACAGCCUUAAACCCAUUAACAUGGAUCCAAUCCAAACCAUUUUCCCAAAAGGUUCUUCUUGUCGUACACCCAAUCCAUAGCGCCCCUCAUUCUCACUUGGGAUAACCUAGAUCUUCAAAACACCAACAUCGUACCCCUCGGCCUAUUCAUCCGUUACUUUGGGGGCAAAAACUUACUGAGCGGGAUGAACAAUGAAUCAGAGGGUGGGGUGUGGACACAUCUCUGGUUAGCCAGCAAACAGUGGCGUCGUAUGAGGGUAGACCACACUUAGUCCUAGCAAGGGAGGACUUGUGCACGCUGAGACCACGUGCUUGGCUCAAUAACAUUGUGGUGCAUUGGAUGUGUUGCGCUUUCAAUGACUCAAGAUUAAAAAGAUUCACAUAUGACUUUUACUGCGUAUGUCCGAGGAUAUAGGAAAUGGUGAUGGUAUAAAAAAUCUGAUGGACUUUCAAGACGGGCCAACUCCCAUGUAUGUGGGAUUGGGUUAACACUAUGGUGCCGACACCAAGUAUUUCGACAAGGCAGCAGCUGCAAAGAGAAAAUGGGAGAGGCUCAUUGAAGACAUAGAUCAAGUGGCCAUCCCCACGAAUAAACUCACUAAAAGAGGCAUGCCUUGCACAUACACCUCUGUACCAAUACAACCAAAUGGGUGAGCCUUCCUCAAAGCCUACGAAUUUCUUAAAUUGUAAGUGUAACUGAGGUGCAAACAGGUUCUCCUAAUACAGUCCGUUGUUUCCAUUGACAUAGUUUUGAUUGUGGUGUGUACACAAUUAAAUUCAUGGAGUACUGGACCAAAGGUGGGAAACUAAAUGAAUGGAAUUAUGUGAGCUUCUAAAUUCUAAUGUUAAAUAACUGAAUAUCUAAACACACAUCACUGUCUGUCACUAAAUGCGGUUAUACAAUACUAAUUUUUGCAUGCAAGACACCAUCAAGCUAUACAGGCUGGAAAUAAUGCUUGAUAUCAUUCUGUGUAAUAAAAAUUUAGCCAUUGGAGAGGCACUGGAUGCCUUUGACAACCGUUCUCAACCUGCUACCUGCCGCAACCAACCUAGGAACAAACGUAAAGAGGUUAGGACACCGUUCAUAGCACCUGGCACAAAGAGCAUGCUAUGGCGAGCAGCAGGAUUACCAAAGAAAUCGCCCACCAAAAGGAGCUAAACAUGGAGAAAAAAAUAUGCAUAUAACAUUCUUAUUUACCUAGUCUUGGGAUACCCACAUAGGCUGAGCUAUUUUUUGUUAGAACUUGAAAUUUUUCUUGUCUUGCACACAGCGACUGUUUGUUAUAGAUUCUUUUGUUGUUAGCGGGUACUUGUUUUGUGAACCUUAUUGAACUUGGUUGGAUAAUUCACUAAGAAUGAAUGUAUUAUGGAUAUGAAUCCUCUCUAUCAGAGAUUGAUUUGUUCUAUUUUGCACAUGAUAAACACUUGAUACGUUUUAAAGAGUUUUAAUUGUCAGUGACCAAACAUGUUGAUGUUUCAAAGAGUUAUUUCUGCAUGUGUCUAGGUAUGGACGUAUCUUCUAAUACAGGUGUCCUUUGUUCUAUAUGGAUGUGUCUCCUGAC
Non-coding RNA from Arachis ipaensis, 1626 nucleotides. The record is from RefSeq and is a predicted model, not a curated record. Lineage: Eukaryota; Viridiplantae; Streptophyta; Magnoliopsida; Fabales; Fabaceae.